CUUGCUUCUCUUGAGAGCGGCGGACGGGUGAGUAAUGCCUAGGAAUCUGCCUGGUAGUGGGGGAUAACGUCCGGAAACGGACGCUAAUACCGCAUACGUCCUACGGGAGAAAGCAGGGGACCUUCGGGCCUUGCGCUAUCAGAUGAGCCUAGGUCGGAUUAGCUAGUUGGUGGGGUAAUGGCUCACCAAGGCGACGAUCCGUAACUGGUCUGAGAGGAUGAUCAGUCACACUGGAACUGAGACACGGUCCAGACUCCUACGGGAGGCAGCAGUGGGGAAUAUUGGACAAUGGGCGAAAGCCUGAUCCAGCCAUGCCGCGUGUGUGAAGAAGGUCUUCGGAUUGUAAAGCACUUUAAGUUGGGAGGAAGGGCAGUAAAUUAAUACUUUGCUGUUUUGACGUUACCGACAGAAUAAGCACCGGCUAACUCUGUGCCAGCAGCCGCGGUAAUACAGAGGGUGCAAGCGUUAAUCGGAAUUACUGGGCGUAAAGCGCGCGUAGGUGGUUCGUUAAGUUGGAUGUGAAAUCCCCGGGCUCAACCUGGGAACUGCAUUCAAAACUGACGAGCUAGAGUAUGGUAGAGGGUGGUGGAAUUUCCUGUGUAGCGGUGAAAUGCGUAGAUAUAGGAAGGAACACCAGUGGCGAAAGCGACCACCUGGACUGAUACUGACACUGAGUGCGAAAGCGUGGGGAGCAAAC
This 697-nucleotide ribosomal RNA is filed under the name uncultured bacterium. RNAcentral's name for it is "bacterial SSU rRNA". It matches the Rfam family "Bacterial small subunit ribosomal RNA", at positions 79 to 773 of the family's 1533-position model. The record is from RNAcentral.